Molecule: ribosomal RNA, 253 nt
Filed under: uncultured bacterium
Lineage: Bacteria
Description: partial 16S ribosomal RNA
Rfam family: Bacterial small subunit ribosomal RNA
Source: RNAcentral
UAUGUAGGGCGCAAGCGUUGUCCGGAAUUAUUGGGCGUAAAGAGCUCGUAGGCGGCCUGUUGCGUCCGCUGUGAAAUCCCGGGGCUCAACCCCGGGCGUGCAGUGGAUACGGGCUGGCUGGAGGCAGGCAGGGGAGAACGGAAUUCCUGGUGUAGCGGUGAAAUGCGCAGAUAUCAGGAGGAACACCGGUGGCGAAGGCGGUUCUCUGGGCCUGUACUGACGCUGAGGAGCGAAAGCGUGGGGAGCGAACAGG